This 474-nucleotide long non-coding RNA is filed under the name Physcomitrium patens. RNAcentral's name for it is "long non-coding RNA (PPAT_LNC008571)". The record is from RNAcentral. Lineage: Eukaryota; Viridiplantae; Streptophyta; Bryopsida; Funariales; Funariaceae.
UAUCACACUUUGGGUUCUGCUCGUCGCGUGUGAUCGGAUGCGGUGUCGAAUAGCUUCGAACAAGUUUGUGACAAACGAAUAACUUUUCCAAACAAGGUUCUAUACAGCUCUAGGACUCUCUGCAAACCCCCCUCCCCACUAUUUUCUUCUUUCUUCUUUCUUUUUCUUUUUUUUCUCUUAAUUUCCUGACGGUAAAGGAAAAAAUCGAAUUCACCUCACAUAAAAAGGUUCUAUUCAAUUGUUCUUCCACAAUAAUGUCUCCUACCUGAUCCUUCAAUACACGCCUCCAUUAUGAUCCAAAAUGUGAUUCGUAUGUUUAAAAAAUAGAUGCGGCACCUUGUAGCACGACAUUUGUGUUAGAUCACUGAAGUCGCAUUUGAAGAAGAUAAGAAUGGAUUCAAAUUACAAAUGCUAACAUUUCUUCUUUGGAUAAACCAAAUUCUCAGGCGAAUGAUAAAUCUCUCUCUCCCUCUC